This 460-nucleotide ribosomal RNA is filed under the name uncultured bacterium. RNAcentral's name for it is "partial 16S ribosomal RNA". It matches the Rfam family "Bacterial small subunit ribosomal RNA", at positions 338 to 795 of the family's 1533-position model. The record is from RNAcentral.
CCUACGGGAGGCAGCAGUGAGGAAUAUUGGUCAAUGGACGCAAGUCUGAACCAGCCAUGCCGCGUGCAGGAAGACGGCUCUAUGAGUUGUAAACUGCUUUUGUACGAGGGUAAACGCAGAUACGCGUCUCUGUCUGAAAGUAUCGUACGAAUAAGGAUCGGCUAACUCCGUGCCAGCAGCCGCGGUAAUACGGAGGAUUCAAGCGUUAUCCGGAUUUAUUGGGUUUAAAGGGUGCGUAGGCGGUCGGAUAAGUUAGAGGUGAAAUCCCGAGGCUCAACUUCGGAAUUGCCUCUGAUACUGUUCGUCUAGAGAGUAGUUGCGGUAGGCGGAAUGUAUGGUGUAGCGGUGAAAUGCUUAGAGAUCAUACAGAACACCGAUUGCGAAGGCAGCUUACCAAGCUACUUCUGACGUUGAGGCACGAAAGCGUGGGGAGCAAACAGGAUUAGAUACCCGGGUAGUC